RNAcentral lists this unclassified non-coding RNA (262 nucleotides) under plant metagenome. RNAcentral's name for it is "partial contains small subunit ribosomal RNA, internal transcribed spacer 1, and 5.8S ribosomal RNA". The record is from RNAcentral.
UCUCCGUUGGUGAGCCAGCGGAGGGAUCAUUACCGAGUUUACAACUCCCAAACCCCUAUGUGAACGUUACCAAACUGUUGCCUCGGCGGGAAAUUCAUGCCCCGGGCGCGUCGCAGCCCCGGACCAAGGCGCCCGCCGGAGGACCAACCAAAACUCUUUUGUAUGUCCCUCGCGGACUUUUAUAAUUCUGAACCAUCUCGGCGCCCCUAGCGGGCGUUUCGAAAAUGAAUCAAAACUUUCAACAACGGAUCUCUUGGUUCUG